Molecule: ribosomal RNA, 274 nt
Filed under: uncultured bacterium
Lineage: Bacteria
Description: partial 16S ribosomal RNA
Rfam family: Bacterial small subunit ribosomal RNA
Source: RNAcentral
ACACGGAGGGCGCAAGCGUUGCUCGGAAUCACUGGGCGUAAAGCGGGUGUAGGCGGUCUAGCAAGUGAGAUGUGAAAGCCCACGGCUCAACCGUGGAAGUGCAUCUGAAACUGCUAGACUUGAGUGCCGGAGAGGGAAGUGGAAUUCCUGGUGUAGGGGUGAAAUCCGUAGAUAUCAGGAGGAACACCGGUGGCGAAGGCGACUUCCUGGACGGCCACUGACGCUGAGACCCGAAAGCGUGGGGAGCAAACAGGAUUAGAAACCCCAGUAGUCC